Molecule: ribosomal RNA, 392 nt
Filed under: uncultured bacterium
Lineage: Bacteria
Description: partial 16S ribosomal RNA
Rfam family: Bacterial small subunit ribosomal RNA
Source: RNAcentral
AUACGGAGGCUGCGAGCGUUAUCCGGAUUUAUUGGGUUUAAAGGGAGCGUAGGCGGGAGCUUAAGUCAGCGGUUAAAUGGUGCGGCUCAACCGUGCCCUGCCGUUGAAACUGGGUUUCUUGAGAGUGCAAGAGGCGGAUGGAAUUCAUGGGGAUGCGGUGCAAUGCUUAGAUAUCAUGAAGAACUCCGAUUGCGAAGGCAGUCCGCUGGGGCACGUCUGACGCUGAUGCUCGAAGGUGCGGGAAUCAAACAGGAUUAGAUACCCUGGUAGUCCGCACGGUAAACGAUGAUUACCCGCUGUCGGCGGCAGACAGUCGGCGGCCAAGCGAAAGCGAUAAGUAAUCCACCUGGGGAGUACGCCGGCAACGGUGAAACUCAAAUGAAUUGACGGGG